Molecule: long non-coding RNA, 909 nt
Organism: Aegilops tauschii subsp. strangulata
Lineage: Eukaryota; Viridiplantae; Streptophyta; Magnoliopsida; Poales; Poaceae
Source: RefSeq, a predicted model, not a curated record
UUUCUCUCUAGCUUUCUCGAAUCUCCCUGCUCAUUUCCCACCUCCACCAUUCCCCAAUCUCCCUAGCGCAUUUGUUGCUCUCGCCGCCCCAGCGUGGCUCAUCCAUCUCCUCUCCACUGGCAGUAGAAAUCGAGUGCUCCUCGCCCGCGCAACACGCGUCGGCGAGGCACCUCCUCCGCCGGCUCCUCGCCUGCGCAGCACGUGUCGGUGAGGAAUCAAUUCCACUCAAAGCAGAGGGCGGUCUGGAGAGGGAGAAGCCGGCGGAGGAGGUGAGGAGCUCGAAAGAGUAGGAGGAAGCGGCGGGGCAGGGUGUGGCGGUGGCAAAAGCUCCGGCAUGCUUGCCAUUGGGCAUCGAUGGCGGCAAGAGCUAGCUAGGCAUGGCAAGUCCCGAUGAGGUUCACCAUCCACGAGAUGCAUAUCCUGCAGGCUGGUCUCGUCGAUUGAUUCUCUCCUCUCGGGCCUCACCAAGGUCGUCGUCGACAUGCUAGCUAAACUAAUCGACCAUACGUGCAGCCCAGCCCGCGGUUCUACAUGGGACUUCAUUUGCUUCGUCUAGAACUUCUGCAUCAUGAGCCUCGCAAAGAUGGCCGCCAUGCUCUUCAUUCCUCUGUCUAGGUCAAUGUUGUAAUUGCUAGCGAAACUACUCUGCGUACGAUGCCUUCUCGUCGGACAACAGUACGAUCAGACUGGGAUCAUCUCUAAAUACUAGGGCCCACAAACUGAAUCAUCUAUGGCUGUCUCUAAUUGUAUGGAGUGUUCGACACAAAUUUAUCGUACGUAUAGCAAGGUUCAAUUGCUAGGGCUACUUUCGUGCUCCCCUCUGGUCGUGAGUUCGAGACUUGAUGGCCACACUUUUUUAUGUUAAUUUUCAUUAUAUAAUAACAGGUGGGACAUCGUCCGGUACAUAUA